AAGCGGACUCCAGUAAUAUCA
This 21-nucleotide unclassified non-coding RNA is filed under the name Mus musculus (house mouse). Its description in RNAcentral is "oocyte_clustered_small_RNA13095". Lineage: Eukaryota; Metazoa; Chordata; Mammalia; Rodentia; Muridae. The record is from RNAcentral.